GGUGAGUAACGCGUGGGAAUCUACCUUUUGCUACGGAAUAACGCAGGGAAACUUGUGCUAAUACCGUAUGUGUCCUUCGGGAGAAAGAUUUAUCGGCAAGAGAUGAGCCCGCGUUGGAUUAGCUAGUUGGUGGGGUAAAGGCCUACCAAGGCGACGAUCCAUAGCUGGUCUGAGAGGAUGAUCAGCCACAUUGGGACUGAGACACGGCCCAAACUCCUACGGGAGGCAGCAGUGGGGAAUAUUGGACAAUGGGCGCAAGCCUGAUCCAGCCAUGCCGCGUGAGUGAUGAAGGCCCUAGGGUUGUAAAGCUCUUUCACCGGAGAAGAUAAUGACGGUAUCCGGAGAAGAAGCCCCGGCUAACUUCGUGCCAGCAGCCGCGGUAAUACGAAGGGGGCUAGCGUUGUUCGGAAUUACUGGGCGUAAAGCGCACGUAGGCGGAUCGAUCAGUCAGGGGUGAAAUCCCAGGGCUCAACCCUGGAACUGCCUUUGAUACUGUCGAUCUGGAGUAUGGAAGAGGUGAGUG
This 523-nucleotide ribosomal RNA is filed under the name Bradyrhizobium sp. ERR 396. Its description in RNAcentral is "bacterial SSU rRNA". It matches the Rfam family "Bacterial small subunit ribosomal RNA", at positions 105 to 663 of the family's 1533-position model. The record is from RNAcentral. Lineage: Bacteria; Pseudomonadati; Pseudomonadota; Alphaproteobacteria; Hyphomicrobiales; Nitrobacteraceae.